AUCCGUGCAGAGAUUUCGUCAGACACCAACCCAUUAGGGCUGAUAAAACUUCCAAGAU
RNAcentral lists this microRNA precursor (58 nucleotides) under Schistosoma mattheei. RNAcentral's name for it is "mir-3492 microRNA precursor family". It matches the Rfam family "mir-3492 microRNA precursor family", at positions 11 to 69 of the family's 79-position model. The record is from Rfam by way of RNAcentral. Lineage: Eukaryota; Metazoa; Platyhelminthes; Trematoda; Strigeidida; Schistosomatidae.